AUGCAGUUUGAACAUUCCGAGCAAGAAAAAGAAUUGAUUAGUUUGGACCGUUCGAGUCUUUGGUUUUUCGAGUCUCUUCGUUCAUCACCUGACCGUCCCAGUAAAUUGACCAAUAUUUCAGUGCUCGGUGUUAACAUGAAGCAUAGCCAUAACAUAAUAAACAUUUUGAAUAAAAUUAAAACUUUUGGAGUGGUACCUUCGUUUGAAGUCUUUACAUGCUGGGACAACUCCAAAGAAGUGCAAGACCCAUCAGAAUUGCAUGUUAGUAUUAAAGGUGGACAUACUUGUAUUUUGAAAAUCGCUCCAAUGGCAGAUGACGAAGAAGAAGAAGUGGUUGUUGCGCCCAAAAUCGAACGCAAACGUGACAAGGAGAGCACAAUGGCGACUAGACGUGGGAGGCCAAUUAAGAUAAAUCCAAAGUAUGGUGCAGCUACAGAUGUCCCUGUGUCUGCUGUUCAGGAAAAUGCAGGAUCCAGUAUGCAGACUGCACAGCAAGUGUGCAGACAAAUCCCUGUGUCUGCUGUUCAGGAAAAUGCAAGAACAGGUAUGCACACUGCACAGCAAGUGUGCAAGUAGGCUACUCUGGUCAAUGCACAUCAUGUUUCAAAAUACUAUAAUAAUUUUAGAUUUGGAUGAGCCGCAUAAAAAAGUGAUACUUUAUACAGCUUUUUGUCAGUUAAAAUUGCAAAUGACCUUGCGUUACAUGUACUUUGAAUAAUACAUUAAAAUAGAGAACUUUUUUUAUUGUAAUUUUUCACAAAAUUAUUGUUUUAAUUUUUUUGAUCAGAUAAAUGCAGCACUGGUGAACAGAAGACAUUUUUCAAAAUCAUAAAUAACUAAUCUUUCCAAAAAUUUGAAAGGUGUUUUAGUAAUAACAAUUCUAUUAAUACUUUGUUAUAUUAUAUGAUUAAAUGAUUAUUUAUAUUUUCACAGAACAUUGUUAUGUACAUUUUAAAGGCACAAUAUGAAUUUUUUUUCGCUAGAGAUCACAUUUUCAAAACAAUAACAGAGGCAAAGCUUGAUGAUGCAAUAACUGAGCAUGAAACUAUGCACGUGCUCAGUCCUUCACUCAGUCUAGUUAAGUAUGUGUAGCAUAUUCAUGCAGAAAUGGCAUCAUUGCUGGGCAACUAUGGCCAGGGAUGAGUCAUUUCUUAAACCCAGAAUAUUUACAAAUCUUUGAGAAUGUUUGAAAUAACACAAGUACACAGCUGUACAAAAUAUAUAAUACUAUGCAAGUGGUUUUUGGAUAUUUUAUUGCAAAAAUGUUACACAUUGUGUCUUUACUCACUUUACUCAUAGUGUCUUAACAGAAAAAAAAAACGCUGCUUGCAGAAGUGCUCAGAGCACUUUUAAUAGUUUUUUUAUUUUUAUUGUGCAAUUUUACAAUGUACAAUAACUCUUUCAUAAAAGUAUUUAUUUAUUCUUUUAUGCCAACAUUUUUAUGAAUGUUUAAAAAUUCUUGUCAUUUUCUUUACUUUUAGAAGUUGCACCCACCAUACAAAUACAAUUCCAAAAUGCAAAGCAAACAAUAGAAGUUCAAAAACAGAAAAUCCUUCACCUGUAGGAUACGGUUAACUCUCUGACAGAGGAGAGAAAUUAUCUUCGUGCAAGACUUGAAGAUGGUAAGUUACCCUCCAGCCAGUCACAUUGUACCCUACAUGAAGCAACUUAAAGGGUUAGUUCACCCAAAAAUGAAAAUUCUGUCAUUAAUGACCCUUAUGUCGUUCUAAACCCGUAAGACCUCUGUUCAUCUUUAGACACAAAUUAAGAUAUUUUGGAUGUAAUCCGAGAACUUCCUGGUCCUCUAUAGACUGUAUAAUCAUCAGUUUAAUCAGUUUAUUGUCAACUAAAAAAAAAAUUAGUCUGGGAGAGCCCAAUGUAUGCAAUCACUUUCAGUGCUGUUGAAUUAUAUUUGUCCAUAAUUUUGUGCUUGUACAGUUUGGAACAUUUGCAGUUUUAUCCAUAUUUUGUUUAAGUUUACUUUGUUCUCAGUUAAUUUAUUAUUGUCUGUCACAGCUUUAAUUCAGAAGGGUCCCUCAGAAGGGGUACCUACACAGACUGCAACUACAAGAAAGAGCAGUACUUCUGAAUCUUCAAAUUUUUCAACUUCCGAGUCCUCUGAUUCUGAGCCCCCAAAACACAAAAAAAGAAAGGUUAAGGAGAAACACAGAGCGAAAAGACAUAAGAAAUCAAAGAAAUUGACUUCUGACUAUUCCAAAAGAGGUAUGUCAUUUUAAUAAUGAUACUUUAUACAAUUUUUCCUUUGCUUAGGAUAAGUAAUUUCAUAGUCACCCAUCUUAUAAAAGUUUGUUUAUUUUAUUUUUUCAGUGCAUACCCCAGAAGAAUCGCUGAAGAGGUACUACAAGGUAUUAAACCUUGUAAAACAGGGCCUGAGUAAGGCAGAGGCCUACAACAGACUAAACGUUGACAGGAACACAAUAGUCAUCCAGGCUCCAAUUGCAGAGUUAGCAGCAGCUAAUCCAGAAUCAUUCCGCAAGCUAAGGCAGAUGUUUAAAAAGGGAGAUAGCAUCCUGAAAUUUGCCGAAAGCUGUCUUUGUCUUUGUAAAGAAAAGGCCAAUGAGGAUGUGAUUAAACAAAUGAAAGAGGCAAAUGACCUGCUUGACAUAAAUAAAAAAUGAACGAUAAGCACACAUUAUAGUUGUUAGGGGGUUGUUCUUGUGUUAGGAAUUUGUUUAAAUCAUUUAAUCCUGACAAUGUUAUAAUGUUCAUAUAUAAAUUUUUAUUAUAAAACGUGUGUUUGCACAUUUUUAUGCAUAUGUUACAUGGGUUCACUGCAAAUUGAACAACAGUGUUUAUGUAGGCAUUUGUUUUAGGUUAAUAGUAAAUUUUAUAAGGGCAUUGAUAUUUGGAAAUGUUUAUUUUCAGGUUUUAUUUUAAUUUAUUUGAUUUUUAUUUGUUGUGCUUUACUCUUGUGCUACUUUUACAGUGCUUGUUUUUUCUUUAAUAAAUCUAGUACUUAUAUAAUGGUUGAUUUGUACUUCUGUUUAACAUUUUAACUCAUCUUUAGUAGUUGUACUAGGCUAAAUAAGAUUCCAAACUUUAGUCUUUAAUACUUAAGGGGAAACUUCUUUAUAAUCUGUAACAUCAAACUCAUUAACUAGUCAUUAACUAACGUGAGUUCAUGAUUUGUUGAGGCAUCUUUAUGUCAUGACUUUACUUGAAGGGGCACAUGAUGGUUAACUCAUUAUUAACUAGUCAUUAACUAGCAUGAGUUCAUGAUUUGUUGAGGCAUCUUUAUGUCAUGACUUUACUUGAAGGGGCACAUGAUGGUUAACUCAUUAUUAACUAGUCAUUAACUAGCAUGAGUUCAUGAUUUGUUGAGGCAUCUUUAUGUCAUGACUUUACUUGAAGGGGCACAUGAUGGUUAACUCAUUAUUAACUAGUCAUUAACUAGCAUGAGUUCAUGAUUCGUUGAGGCAUCUCAACAU
Cyprinus carpio carpio is the source of this 3449-nucleotide long non-coding RNA. The record is from Ensembl. Lineage: Eukaryota; Metazoa; Chordata; Actinopteri; Cypriniformes; Cyprinidae.